Molecule: ribosomal RNA, 539 nt
Filed under: Bacillus velezensis
Lineage: Bacteria; Bacillati; Bacillota; Bacilli; Caryophanales; Bacillaceae
Description: bacterial SSU rRNA
Rfam family: Bacterial small subunit ribosomal RNA
Source: RNAcentral
GCACCAAGGGGGGCAGUAUGAAGCAACGGAAGAACCUUCCAGGUCUUGACAUCUGACAAUCCUAGAGAUAGGACGUCCCCUUGGGGGCAGAGUGACAGGUGGUGCAUGGUUGUCGUCAGCUCGUGUCGUGAGAUGUUGGGUUAAGUCCCGCAACGAGCGCAACCCUUGAUCUUAGUUGCCAGCAUUCAGUUGGGCACUCUAAGGUGACUGCCGGUGACAAACCGGAGGAAGGUGGGGAUGACGUCAAAUCAUCAUGCCCCUUAUGACCUGGGCUACACACGUGCUACAAUGGACAGAACAAAGGGCAGCGAAACCGCGAGGUUAAGCCAAUCCCACAAAUCUGUUCUCAGUUCGGAUCGCAGUCUGCAACUCGACUGCGUGAAGCUGGAAUCGCUAGUAAUCGCGGAUCAGCAUGCCGCGGUGAAUACGUUCCCGGGCCUUGUACACACCGCCCGUCACACCACGAGAGUUUGUAACACCCGAAGUCGGUGAGGUAACCUUUAAGGAGCCAGCCGCCGAAGGUGGACAGAUGUUGGGGG